This 732-nucleotide ribosomal RNA is filed under the name uncultured eukaryote. RNAcentral describes it as "SSU rRNA". It matches the Rfam family "Eukaryotic small subunit ribosomal RNA", at positions 672 to 1426 of the family's 1831-position model. The record is from RNAcentral.
GGCGUGUACUGCUUGGCUGGGCCUUACUUCUUGGUGAGCCGGCGUGCCCUUUAUUGGUGUGCGUCGGGGAACCAGGACUUUUGCCUUGAGAAAAUUAGAGUGUUCAAAGCAGGCCUAUGCCUGAAUACAUUAGCAUGGAAUAAUAGAAUAGGACGUGCGGUUCUAUUUUGUUGGUUUCUAGAGUCGCCGUAAUGAUUAAUAGGGACAGUUGGGGGCAUUGGUAUUGAGUCGCUAGAGGUGAAAUUCUUGGAUUGACUCAAGACCGACUAUUGCGAAAGCAUUUGCCAAGGAUGUUUUCAUUAAUCAAGAACGAAGGUUAGGGGAUCGAAAACGAUCAGAUACCGUUGUAGUCUUAACAGUAAACUAUGCCGACUAGGGAUUGGAUGACCUCAAAAUUGAUGUGUCAUUUGGCACCUUACGAGAAAUCAAAGUCUUUGGGUUCUGGGGGGAGUAUGGUUGCAAGGCUGAAACUUAAAGGAAUUGACAGAAGGGCACCACCAGGUGUGGAGCCUGCGGCUUAAUUUGACUCAACACGGGGAAACUCACCAGGUCCAGACAUAACUAGGAUUGACAGAUUGAUAGCUCUUUCAUGAUUUUAUGGGUGGUGGUGCAUGGCCAUUCUUAGUUGGUAGAGUGAUUUGUCUGGUUAAUUCCGAUAACGAACGAGACCUUAACCUGCUAAAUAGCCAGGCCGGCUUCAGCUGGUCUCUGGCUUCUUAGAGGGACUGUCAG